AGCAGCCGCCACGGUAAUACGAAGGGUGCAAGCGUUAAUCGGAAUUACUGGGCGUAAAGCGUGCGUAGGCGGUUUGUUAAGUCUGCUGUGAAAUCCCCGGGCUCAACCUGGGAAUGGCAGUGGAUACUGGCAAGCUAGAGUGUGUCAGAGGAUGGUGGAAUUCCCGGUGUAGCGGUGAAAUGCGUAGAGAUCGGGAGGAACAUCAGUGGCGAAGGCGGCCAUCUGGGACAACACUGACGCUGAGGCACGAAAGCGUGGGGAGCAAACAGGAUUAGAUACCCCAGUAGUCCCUGUCUCUUAUAC
RNAcentral lists this ribosomal RNA (303 nucleotides) under uncultured bacterium. RNAcentral's name for it is "partial 16S ribosomal RNA". It matches the Rfam family "Bacterial small subunit ribosomal RNA", at positions 507 to 807 of the family's 1533-position model. The record is from RNAcentral.